This 975-nucleotide ribosomal RNA is filed under the name Triticum aestivum (bread wheat). Its description in RNAcentral is "partial small subunit ribosomal RNA". The record is from RNAcentral. Lineage: Eukaryota; Viridiplantae; Streptophyta; Magnoliopsida; Poales; Poaceae.
AUGUAUCGCGACGAUGAUCUAGAUGAAACCUUUGCUUCGCAAAGCCAAUUUGAAGAAGGACAAAAUCAGUUUCUUGAUGUAGGUGGUGGAGACCCACAGUUUGAUGUCGAAAAUUUUCUGAACAACUUGCGAAAUUUGUUUUACUCAUCAAAUGACAAUGCCAAUUCUUCUAAAGAUCCCUGCCGUGCCCCACUUUCUCCAAAGAAGGCAACGAGCAGGUGUAAUCAUGGCUAUUUCAGUGAUCUGCUCAAGAAAAUUCCACCAUCAAGAUUAGAUGUUAUUAAAACUUAUGGUUGCUCUUUUAUUCUUGAUUUUGAGUGCAAUUCUGUACCAAGAGGUUUUGCACAAUGGAUAGCAGGGAAAGUAAAUCCACCUAUUGGUGACAUAGUUCUCGACAACAAAGUCAUUCCAAUGAGCCCUGAAUCUUUUCAUCUACUCCUUGGUCUUCCAUUAGGUGGCACCUCAGUUUUAUUUGACAGUGAGGUGACUAAAGUAGUUUUCCUCAAUAUUAUUGGUGAACCUACACUGCCUUCUAUCAAGUGGUUUGGGUUGAGAAUGCUCAAGCCUGACAUUUCUGAUAUUGAUUUUCUGAGAUGUUUUCUCCUAGUUGCCUUUGCAACUGUUUUGUGCCCCAACUCAAAUAUCUACCCCAACACAAAAUAUCUAGGAAUUCUUAUUGAUCCAACUCAAGUUACAAACUAUGGUUUAUCAAAGUUUGUUUUUGAUUGUCUUAUGUCAUACAUAAGGAAAUAUCAAAAAGAGCCAAAGAAAUCUGCAAAAGAGGAUGGUUUAACUACACUUGGUGGCUGCAUUUAUGGGCUUUGUUGCUAUUACUUAGAUUUUCUGGAUUUUGGGUUACGCCGAGUGCCUCCUGGAAUUCCAAGAGUAAAGGCAUGGAAAAAUUCUCUAGUGGAAGAGUUUGCAAACCUGGAUUGCAAAGGUCCAAGGGAAUAUGGCUUACGUCCUGUGAAGUAG